RNAcentral lists this ribosomal RNA (112 nucleotides) under Acanthosepion pharaonis. Lineage: Eukaryota; Metazoa; Mollusca; Cephalopoda; Sepiida; Sepiidae. The record is from RNAcentral.
AUGGUCAUAUAGAUUUGAAACACCAGUUCCCAUAUGAUCACAGAAGUUAAGCAACAUUGAGCCUAGUCAGUACCUAAAUGGGUGACUGCUUGGGAAUACCAGGUGCUGUAAG